GGGACGAGACGGAGUCAUCUUCUCCGAGAGCUUCUUCAUGAGCAAUUCAGUGAGAGUAAGCGAGAGAGAUACCUAGAUAGAGAAAGAGAAAUCUUCUUGGGUUCUAGGGUUCUUCUUCUCCUCCUUCUCUUGUUCUUCGUCUUCAGGUUCUUCUUCCUUGUAAUGUCGAUUGAGUUGUAAUCGGCGGUGAGCGAUUCUUCUUGUGAACCAUGAUCGGGGUUUUUUCCGAUCAACAUAGUGAACGUGAGGCAGCACGAAAGACUCCCCGGAUGUAGCUUCGGUGAACCGGGUCAACAUUUGGUGGUUUCUCUUGAUUAGUAAAUCGAAUGACCAAGAAGUGAAUUGAGGAAUUCAAUUCUCAACAAGUGGUAUCAGAGCCGAGGUUCGGCGACUCAUAGGUUCAAUCGAUUCACGGAGUUCACGACAAUGCAAGCAAAGGAAAUCAAAGGAUGAAUCAGAGUGCUCGAAACCAGAGGAGAAGCAUAUGUUAUUGAUCGAAUCUAUGGAUCGACGAACGGUGAAAACGUUGGCUGGUGAAAGCGACGUCUGAUUCCGGGAAGAAGAAGGUGUAUGGUUAUCGUUGAAGACGCUGGAAUGGGAGAGACGAAGAUUCGUGAAGAAAGAUCGUCGGCAAAGAUAGGAUCGAUUGAGGUGAUUUCAGGAUUGAAUGGAAUCGGGAAAUCUCUAAGUUACAAUCCUCCAUCGGCUCGAGGUUCCGUAACGAUGUGGGUUUUUUGUUCAAAGAACCUGCAGGUGAAUUCGUUACACGUACAAGAAGAGAUAGUUUCAGGGACUUAGGCGAAUACAGUUGGUACAAGAAGGGCUUCUUGUAUCUGUGGGAAACUAAUGGUUUUGAGAUCGAUGAUGAGUAAAGUUUCAUCAUGUUCAGCUCGAUUCAGGAUCAAAGGUAUGAGUUGAAGGUUCUGACUCUAAGUUAUGAUAACUAGAAUCAAGUCAUCAUCUCUUAAGACUCAAGUCUUGAAGAUCAAUUAGUCUAUUAUCCGCUGCAAAUCUCAAGAACAUUUGUGAGGUUAUUAAGUGAAGUUUCAAGAGUCUCAAGGUCUGUUAUCCUAUGGAAUCAAACUUAGCUAGAACACAAAGAAUGAUGAUUUUGACAAAGGGGAGCCAAUGAUUCUUUGCUGGGUUUCAGAUUGAAUUUUUUGGGUUUAAAUGUGGUUGUUGAAAUCUGCUACAGUUAGUGUUCUGGAAACUAUAUUCUGGUUAUUGGGGGACGCCUUAAGAGGAUGAAUUUAUGUGUUAUUGGCUGUUGAAACAUCAGUUACAGGUUGAGAUUCAAGUAUGGGAGCUGCAGGUGGAGUAAGUAGAAACUUGUUCAAGCUGAUUGUUGGGUACAAUACAGUUUUAUGACUAUGAAGACUUCAGGUUAUGAGGGAGUUUUGAUGAGGUUUCGGUUGUAGGUCUAGUCUCUGGGUUAAGCAUCAGAUUCUUGUGAAUCUGAUGUGGUUGCAGGCUUUGAGGUCUAAGUUUUAAGGAGAUCUCACGGGUCUGUGAAUGCAGGUUUUAAUGAUCAAGGUUUCAAAGCAGAUCAUGGAGCUUGUUGCAGCAAGUAUUGUUUCCAUGGAAAUGGAUCAAGGCUGUGGAUGUUUUCUUGGAAAUGGAGCAGUCAAAGCUCAUUAAGGAAAACAUGGAGAGUCAUCUAAGUCUGUAAAAGAAACAUGAAGAAAUUAUAUCUCAAGAAGGAGGUAGCCGGAGCAAAGGCAAAGUGUGUGAAAACAACACAAUUGCUUGUUGGAACAAAGUCACUUUGUGGUAACAACAGCUAGUAGCUUUGAUGAGGUAUUGUGAGUGACAGAUGCAAGGUCGGGCUAGAACUUUCAGUGUCUGACUCAAGGAGUUUCUACAGAAGACUAGAAGUGAUGGACUCUUGAUAAAAACUGAUGGAAAAAUCAGUGUUACAGAAACAAUAAGAAGAAACUUGUUUCUGGCUCUUAUGGUUCAAAGUAAAUGAGUCAAAGAGGAAUGGUUUUGCUGAUUACAGGUUCAUUUGGACAUGAAGACUGCAAGUUCAGGUCUGCAUGAGAUGUCUCAGGAUUUUGCUCUGGUUUUGUUCAUUUGGAAAUUUCAUAGUUGUCAAAGACAGGUUGAUAUUUCUGUAAUAUGAAUGGUGGAGCAUUUGAGAUAUUUGCAGAAGGUGCUAGUUCUGAUGAAUCAAAGUCAGAGUAGUAUGAGGAAAUAAUUAAAAAAAAAAAAAGUCAGGAUGUCUAAGGGUAGAACAAGUUACAGUAUAGUCCAGUUACGGUUGAUGCAUCUUCAAUUUAGUUAGUACAAAAUCAGUUUGGGAACUUCAAAGAAGCAUUGGUCCUUGGUGGGUCUUCUGGUUAUAAAAGAUUAAACUUAAAAGACUAACUCCAGUAUGGUGAAUCAUUUGUCGUACAACUUGACAUAUACUUCAAGGAGGAAGCCGUGAGAGAUCUGAUACACAAGAACAUGUGUAUGGGUCAAAAAGUAUCACUGGAUAAAGGUUUAACUCAUUCAGGUGGAGCUAAGCGUAAGAGACAAAGAAAUAUGAGGGUUCUAGUUUCAGGUGGAGCUAGUGAAAAUCUGUUCCAGGUGGAGCUGUGAAUCAGUAAAGAUGUCUCGGGCCUAUUCAAAACUUCAAGAAUCUGGGAAGGAUUUGGUAUAGCAGCUCCAAAGGAGAAGAGUUAAAUGGGCUUAAACAAAUUUUUAAUGUGAGGGAAGACGUGAAAGCCUAGGUUACAAUAUGAAGUUACAAGCUUGAUUAAAGGUACAAGUUGCAGGUUUUUUUUUUCUGAAGAAAACAAAUAUGCAAGUUUCUGAAUUUUCAGAGAAAAGGCUAAUGAGUAUAGCUUAAGAUGAGGAUAUAGAAGUGAUUGUUCAGUGAAUUCUCUUGACGGGAAACUGAAGGGGACAAGUACAAGUUCUGUAGAAUAUGUCUCAAGUUUGGUGUCACUUCAAGGAGCCGAAGCAGUUAUGCAAAAGCAUGGUAAGGCCGUUCAUCUUAGUGCAGGAAAGUGCGGAAAUCAAGACUGCAUUUGGAAACAGAGACUAGUGAAAGUCUGGUUGUGUUUCUGGUGCAUCAUACGGAGACUGAGAAGGAAUCUUCUCAAAUAGGCACUUGCAGGGAAAGUCAAGUGAAGGAAUUUUCUGUAAUAGAAGCACAGUGAAGUAAAGUAUUUGAGGAAGAUAUUCUAGUAAAGUCUGAAGUUUUUUUUUGAUGCAAGUACCAAGGUUUUUUGGUGGAGUCUGCAUACUGGUGGAAGUUGCAGGGUAUUUCUUCAGCUUAAAGGGACAUCGGGAGCUCAAGUUGAUGUGGUAAUAGCUGAAAGAAAGGUCUCUCAGAUGUAUCACGGGUUUGUUGAUAUGAGAGGUAUAAAGGUUUGCUAGCAGGGAAGUCAACAUCGUUGGUAAAGUUCUGUUAAAACGGAAUGGUUUGAACAAGGUCUAAUGUUCAAAUGUUAACUAUGCAAAACAGGUUUACGAAAGGUCAGUCUUAAAAGUUAUGCGGUGGUUGCUAACUUGUUGUCGAGAUUUUGUUUUGCAGGUUUUGAAUCACAGGUUGUUUCAAGAAAGAAGCAUGUAUGAUUCAAGUGGGAAUCAAGUCUACUUCAAGUAAAGAAGCUAGAAUGGUUCUGGUCUCAGCAAUUGAUCCAAAGAAGUUUUGAUUCAAGGCUCAGUGCACAUGAGUGAAUCAAAAGGACGUCAAAGGAAUCACAUUGCAGGAGGGACGAAGUUUUAAUCACUGUAACAGUUCAUGGUUUUAGCAGAGAUCAUGAAGGAAAACUGUGUGAUUGAUGGUCUUAUAAGUGGUUUAGCUUAUGAGGAUUCUGUUGUGUUAAUAUGUUUAAUGGUUUAUUAUACAUGUUAGUGUUCUGUUUUCUGAGUGGUUUUAACUCAGGUAUCCAGGCGAUGGAAACACAAAGACAAUCAAUGAGAGUUUAGCUUGACAUAAGAAUAUGCCGAAGUGGUACGACUCAGGAGGAGACACGGGACUAGCCAAAGUUUGAGAAAAGCUUUGUGGUUACUUUGUGAUCACUUAGUUGAGCUUGACUAACGUUGUGUCUAGUUUUUCAUUGGUGGUGUAGUAAGUUUAAGGGAUCAAAUUUACGAAUGUGGUUGGUUGGUAUAAGUAAAACUUAUGCAGCUUUGGAGAUUGAGUACCAAGGUUAGAAUCAGGUUUAACAGAUUCUAAGGUCAGUUCAUAAGAGAUCUUUCAAGGUUGUCUCAAGGUGGAGAAUGCUGGAUUUGAUCCAACUUGAAAGCAUUUGAAGAAGAUGUUUAUUCAAGCGUGAAGAAUAAAACCAAAUGGGGACGUGUUUAUAAGCUUCUGCAGGAAUCAGAGGGUCUUGAUACAUGGUUCUAUUUGGGUGCACGUGGGUCUACACGUGUGAGACUAUCUUUGACUAAAACCAGAGAAGUUGUAAGACUUUGGUGACGGGACGGGACGAGACGGAGUCGUCUUCUCCGAGAGCUUCUUCAUGAGCAAUUCAGUGAGAGUAAGCGAGAGAGAGAUAGCUAGAUAGAGAAAGAGAGAUCUUCUUGGGUUCUAGGGUUCUUCUUCUCCUCCUUCUCUUGUUCUUCUUCUUCAGGUUCUUCUUCCUUGUAAUGUCGAUUGAGUUGUAAUCGGCGGUGAGCGAUUCUUCUUGUGAACCAUGAUCGGGGUUUUUUCCGAUCAACAUAGUGAACGUGAGGCAACACGAAAGACUCCUCCGGAUGUAGCUUCGGUGAACCGGGUCAACAUUUGGUGGUGUCUCUUGAUUAGUAAAUCGAAUGACCAAGAAGUGAAUUGAGGAAUUCAAUUCUCA
RNAcentral lists this long non-coding RNA (4784 nucleotides) under Eutrema salsugineum. RNAcentral's name for it is "long non-coding RNA (ESAL_LNC000314)". The record is from RNAcentral. Lineage: Eukaryota; Viridiplantae; Streptophyta; Magnoliopsida; Brassicales; Brassicaceae.